CUUUGAUACACAGAAGUUUGAAUGUCAUCUAUCUAGGGAGCAGCUGGAUAGCAAAGCCUCAAGCCCAUGGAAAACAUUUAUAAACCUCCAUGACAAGCCAUCUCCACAAACCCCGAAAUAGAACUGGUGACAAAUCCCCAACAGCUACAAGACCUGCAUGGUAGUAACAUCUGUGUGAAAAGAAGACAGAAGUAAUGGGGCAGUGUCAAUGAAGGAUCUGAGAAGAGAGAAUUCCAAAGAGCUGACAAUAGUUCACCGGCAAGCACAGUGGACAUCUUUGGAAACAGCUGAUGAAACUGGGAGGGGCUUUGUUCAGCCCAGUGUUGGGUGACUGCGAGGAGUGCCUGGUAGACUAUGAAGGGGCUGGCAUUGUCCAGACCCUGUGAACUUUGAAAAGGACCUGCACAGGUUUGUUUCUAGGGCAGAGUCCCACAUUGAGGAGAGAUUGCCAGGAGUGGAGGCAAAAUUGAGCCGGGCGGGGGCAACAUGGAUGAAGAAAGAGAGGGCCAGGUAAAAGUAGGGCAAUGAGAAUAGAGCCGGGACAUUUUAAGGGACUAUUUUAUUUUUAAAUAAUGCAUAAAACCAUGGACUAUGGGGCAGUUUGAACUUAUACAGUUUAUCAUGAACGAUGUUUCCUUCUAAAAAUUCAGGAAAACAAAAUUCACAUAAAAUUAGUAUAGGAAAAGAUCACAGUCAAAUGUCAUUUAAAGUUAUUAUUCAAAAACAUAAAGAAAAUGUGAUACACAUACGCCAUGGAAUACAAUGUAACCAUAAAAAGGAAUUAAAUCAUGUUGUUUGCAGCAAUGUGGAUGCAGCUGGAGGCCAUUAUCCUAAGGGAAUUAAUGCAGAAACAGAAAACCAAGUAUUGCGUGUUCUUACUUAUAAGUGGAAACUAAACAUUGGGUACGU
RNAcentral lists this long non-coding RNA (909 nucleotides) under Homo sapiens (human). RNAcentral describes it as "non-protein coding lnc-NRL-3:1". Lineage: Eukaryota; Metazoa; Chordata; Mammalia; Primates; Hominidae. The record is from RNAcentral.